GACGAACGCUGGCGGCGUGCUUAACACAUGCAAGUCGAACGGAAAGGCCUGCUUUCCCUUGUGGAUUGCGGGUACUCGAGUGGCGAACGGGUGAGUAACACGUGAGUGAUCUGCCCCCAACUUGGGUAUAAGCCUGGGAAACUGGGUCUAAUUCCCGAUAGGACUGCAGGGUGGUGCCUGUGGUGGAAAACGAUUUUCUAGUGGUUGGGGAUGAGCUCGCGGCCUAUCAGCUUGUUGGUGGGGUAAUGGCCUACCAAGGCGGCGACGGGUAGCCGGCCUGAGAGGGUGGACGGCCACAUUGGGACUGAGAUACGGCCCAGACGCCUACGGAGGCAGCAGUGGGGAAUAUUGCACAAUGGGCGGAAGCCUGAUGCAGCGACGCCGCGUGGGGGAUGACGGCCUUCGGGUUGUAAACUCCUUUCGACCGCGAGGAAGCCACCUGGUUGGAAGGGUGGUGACGGUAGUGGUAGAAGAAGCACCGGCUAACUACGUG
Molecule: ribosomal RNA, 493 nt
Filed under: uncultured bacterium
Lineage: Bacteria
Description: partial 16S ribosomal RNA
Rfam family: Bacterial small subunit ribosomal RNA
Source: RNAcentral